GGAUUGUGAGGGCGAUCUGGCUGCGACAUCUGCCACUCCACUGAUCGCCAGGGUUGAUUCGGCUGAUCUGGCUGGCUAGGCAGGUGUCCCCUUCCUCCCUCAAUGCUCCAUGUGCCUCCCUCCCGAAGCUGUGCGCUUGGUCGAAGAGGACGACCACCCCGAUAGAGGAGGACCGUUCCUUGGUCAAGAGUAUACGAGUAGCUGCACUCCCCUGCUAGAACCUCCAAACAAGCUCUCAAGAAUCAAAAAAAAUCAGACCCCCCCAAAUUUGAAGACCCAAUCCAAAAAUGAUAUUCUGAGAUU
This 303-nucleotide small nuclear RNA is filed under the name Chinchilla lanigera (long-tailed chinchilla). Its description in RNAcentral is "7SK RNA (ENSCLAG00000022135.1)". It matches the Rfam family "7SK RNA". Rfam says of the family: 7SK was discovered as an abundant small nuclear RNA in the mid-70s but a possible function has only recently been suggested. Two independent studies have found that 7SK RNA binds the CDK9/cyclin T complex (known as elongation factor P-TEFb). P-TEFb activates transcription by phosphorylating the C-terminal domain of RNA polymerase II. Lineage: Eukaryota; Metazoa; Chordata; Mammalia; Rodentia; Chinchillidae. The record is from Rfam by way of RNAcentral.